RNAcentral lists this long non-coding RNA (1094 nucleotides) under Cyanistes caeruleus (blue tit). RNAcentral's name for it is "lncRNA (ENSCCEG00000024363.1)". The record is from RNAcentral. Lineage: Eukaryota; Metazoa; Chordata; Aves; Passeriformes; Paridae.
UCCAGGCCAGGGCUAAUUUUGGCAGCAGCAGCAGUGACGUGGGACUGCUGAGCCCUGGUGUCCCAGCCCUGGCACCCACACACCCAGCGGGGCAGGGAGGGGGGCACGGCCAAGCCACGGCCCCUGUGCCCUCACCAGGACUCACAAUGGAAGCCAGGACAGGUUUGCAGUUCAUAUAAACAGCCCUGAGCUGGGAUUCUGGACAAAACCAGGAUUGGAGCAAGGUUCUCAGCCAGGGGAGGCUCCUUGGUGCUCCGAGGGAUGAAUCUGGUGGCUCUGCAGGCAGCACCUGUCCUGCUGCACCUGGGGAGAUUCAGAACCCUCAGAAAUCCAGAUCAACACGUCCAAAAGGAAAUUUGCAGGACAGCUCCUGAGGAAUUGCUUCUGGACCCUGGCCAUGAAAAAUGAAGCCCAAACACACGGAAUAAGCAAGGUUUUGGAACAAUGAAUGUGGGAAGAGAAGGAGCCUGAGAAACUCCACAUCCACUGCUCCCAGCAGAGCUCAGAGACAAGGCUGGAAAAUCGCAUCCUCCCAAAUUCUCCAGCCAGGGGUUCAUCUGAAAAUAUCUGAGAACUGAUUUAUCUUCAUCUGGGGUUCCAGAGGAAAUGCAUCCUGGGAGGUUCCUCGGGCAUCUUUGCACUCGGUAAAGUUCAAGUGGACAAGAGAAGGGAACAGAGGGCUUGAGACACUGAAUUACUAAAAGGUUCCUGGAAAUAUGUGGCCAAGAAGAGAAGAACCAACCUGUGAAAGGUGCUGCAUUUACAGGAAUUAAAUCUCUUUUCUCACAGAGGGAAAAGCUGCACUGCCAUGUUUUGACAGAAGAAAACUGACAUGGAAGGAAGGUGUUGAAAACUUCCAGUCAGGGGAAGCUCUGGAAUCCUUUUGUGGUCUCAAAGCUGGAACAAUCCCUUUGGAAAUCACAGUCCUAGAACCGCUGUAAUCUUUGUCAUGGAUUUUCUAUGACAAUUUCCCACUGCUUUCAGUCCAUGGAAUAGCAUUGUAGGAGAUUGGGAAUAUCUGUUCCUCUGAAGAACCUCUCCUUCUUAUUCUUCAUAUAAAUAAAUCACUUAGAGAAAAAAAAAAAAAAAAAAUU